Molecule: unclassified non-coding RNA, 336 nt
Filed under: soil metagenome
Description: partial contains 5.8S ribosomal RNA, internal transcribed spacer 2, and large subunit ribosomal RNA
Rfam family: 5.8S ribosomal RNA (bases 1-119)
Source: RNAcentral
GAUGAAGAACGUAGCGAAAUGCGAUAAGUAAUGUGAAUUGCAGAAUUCAGUGAAUCAUCGAAUCUUUGACGCACAUUGCGCCCGCCAGUAUUCUGGCGGGCAUGCCUGUUCGAGCGUCAUUUCAACCAUCAAGCCCCCCGGCUUGUGUUGGGGACCUGCGGCUGCCGCAGGCCCUGAAAAGCAGUGGCGGGCUCGCUGUCACACCGAGCGUAGUAGAUCUCAUCUCGCUCAGGGCGUGCUGCGGGUUCCGGCCGUUAAACCACCUUCAUAACCCAAGGUUGACCUCGGAUCAGGUAGGAAGACCCGCUGAACUUAAGCAUAUCAAUAAGCGGAGGA